UCCACGUGGCGGUGUGCGAGAGAAGUUCUUUGAUCGUCUGUGUGAACUUUCAACAUCAUCAGCCAUAUCAUCUGGCGAUGCAGUUUAUCAGCUAUCCAGCUGCACUGUUAUUUAUCACUGUUUUAAUGGCCUCCCUUCCUUUCUAUUGAUACUUUACCACUGAGAAAAUAUUAGUGUUAAAGGACUUUAUCACAUUAUAUAUCUAAUAAUUUAAAAGUUUGUAGUGGAUUGCUGGUGGGGUUUAUAUAUCGCGUCAAUUAAUCAGUGAAAAUCUGAACAAGAACUUUGAGACAACAGAACUCUGUUAUCGAAUCGCAAGUGUUUCUAAAGUGCACACAUUCAUUAUACUAAAUUUUGGUUCAAAGUGGCUGAAGAACGACAUCCGAUGGCUCAGCGUUAAGUCUGAGGGCUUAUAGCGCAAAAACUCGGGAUUAGAUACCUACGGUUGGCAGAGCACAGGCAACCCAUCGUGUAGCUUUGCGCUUAGCAACAAACACAUAAAUCACAUGAUUAAGAAAAAAGCGAAAACACCGGUCAGUCACUAAAUGAAAACGCAACAACUGACGACAUGGAUUCUACCUGGUCUUGUCUCGAAUUCAUAUAUCUUAUGACCUUAUCAUCGAAUAUAGUUAGACAUUGCAUCUUAGAUCACUGAUCUUCAGCAUAAAUCUAUGAGAUAUAUGAUCUAUAGUUUCUUUUUAUUGUUAAACCUGCUGCUAUGCCAUAAAAUAGUAUAUUAUUCUUCUAAACUAUUAUUUCGUUUUAUAUUUUACUGGUAUAAAACAUUUAAAGUUGGAGUACCAAAAUACACCUGUCAAUGGAUUACAUUAGAAAUUUACUUCAGGAAGUCCUAAGCAUAAUAUAUAAUUGUGAUUUAAUAAUAGGAUACUCGUUUUUUUAUUCUUAUGUGUUUCAAUAAUUAAUGUAUGAAACAUUUAUUUUUCCAUACACUAAGCAAAGUCUUUUGCGAAAUCUUUCAAGGAAGUUGCAGUACGUAAAAGAAAUACACUGAAGCGUAAAAUGAUGCAUAACUCAAAGUGAUGACUCAUAAUUCGACUACGUGAUAUUCAAACGAACACAAUAACGCAUGAUUUGAUAUUAUAAGUCUUAUAAUAACUUAAGUCUUCUAACGUCAAAACCUUUAUUAACAGUUUAUUUGGGAUUAACGAUAAUUCAUUGUGAGCUUCAUAGCUUAGGUUUCUACUUUUGAUUGUCUUCUAAGUGUUUAACUUUUUUACUUUCUUACAGACCAAUGAUUCAAUAUAUCGAAUGCUAAAACCAUCCUACUUUGUUAAACCGUUACAGUUGGAUAAAUAGUGUAUAAGCACAGAAUCAAGCUUGUUAAAAAAUACCCUAACGUGUGAUUUUAAGGACAAGAAAAGCGUAUACAUUAAGGUCAUGAAAUCCGGGUAAUAAUUACUCACCUCCUGUUUCGUGGUUAAAAUAACUCGAUGCUCGAAACAACCAUGAAAUUAAGACGAAUGAAAAAACAAAAACAUUCUGGUUUAAAACUUACAAAUAUAUACAUAUAUGUGUAUAUAAGCAAUGAAUUAAGUUUGAAAGAGAUAUUUCGUUUUGUUUUUUAAGUUUAGGCUAGAGUUACAAGUCAUCCGAAAUGUUUUAAAUGAUAACACUCACCUGUGUUGAAGCUUGUAUACUGACGUUGCU
RNAcentral lists this unclassified non-coding RNA (1668 nucleotides) under Limulus polyphemus (Atlantic horseshoe crab). Its description in RNAcentral is "chondroadherin-like, transcript variant X8". The record is from RNAcentral. Lineage: Eukaryota; Metazoa; Arthropoda; Merostomata; Xiphosura; Limulidae.